GAUGAACGCUAGCGGCAGGCUUAACACAUGCAAGUCGAGGGGCAGCGGGAUGUAGCAAUACAUUGCCGGCGACCGGCGCAAGGGUGCGUAACGCGUGAGCAACAUGCCCGUCACAGGAGGAUAAACCAUGGAAACGUGGCCUAAUACUCCAUAGUAUAUCAGAGAGGCAUCUUUUUGAUAUUAAAGCUUCGGUGGUGACGGAUUGGCUCGCGUGACAUUAGCUAGAUGGAGAGGUAACGGCUCACCAUGGCGACGAUGUCUAGGGGAACUGAGAGGUUAAUCCCCCACACUGGUACUGAGACACGGACCAGACUCCUACGGGAGGCAGCAGUGAGGAAUAUUGGACAAUGGAUGGAAAUCUGAUCCAGCCAUGCCGCGUGCAGGAUGACGGCCCUAUGGGUCUUAAACUGCUUUUGUAUGGGAGCAAUAAGUCUUACGUGUAAGAUGAUGAGAGUACCAUACGAAUAAGCAUCGGCUAACUCCGUGCCAGCAGCCGCGGUAAUACGGAGGAUGCAAGCGUUAUCCGGAUUUAUUGGGUUUAAAGGGUGCGUAGGCGGUUUUGUAAGUCAGUGGUGAAAUCUCCGGGCUCAACCCGGAACGUGCCAUUGAUACUGCAGGACUGGAAUGUGGAUGCCGUUUGCGGAAUGUGUGGUGUAGCGGUGAAAUGCAUAGAUAUCUCACAGAACACCGAUCGCGACGCAGCAGACGAAUCCAUGAUUGACGCUGAGCACGAAAGUGUGGGGAUCAAACAGGAUUAGAUACCCUGGUAGUCCACACAGUAAACGAUGAUGACUCGCUGUCGGCGAUAUACAGUCGGUGGUCAAGAGAAAUCGAUAAGUCAUCCACCUGGGGAGUACGACCGCAAGGUUGAAACUCAAAGGAAUUGACGGGGGCCCGCACAAGCGGAGGAACAUGUGGUUUAAUUCGAUGAUACGCGAGGAACCUUACCCGGGCUCGAACGGCUGGUGAACGACUAAGAGAUUAGAAGGUCCUACGGGACGCCAGUCGAGGUGCUGCAUGGUUGUCGUCAGCUCGUGCCGUGAGGUGUCGGCUUAAGUGCCAUAACGAGCGCAACCCUUGCUGAUAGUUACCAUCAGGUAAUGCUGGGGACUCUAUCAGGACUGCCGCCGUAAGGUGAGAGGAAGGGGGGGAUGACGUCAAAUCAGCACGGCCCUUACGUCCGGGGCGACACACGUGUUACAAUGGCAGGUACAGAGGGCGGCCAGGCAGCGAUGCCGCGCAAAUCUCGAAAGCCUGUCUCAGUUCGGAUUGGAGUCUGCAACUCGACUCCAUGAAGUUGGAUUCGCUAGUAAUCGCGCAUCAGCCAUGGCGCGGUGAAUACGUUCCCGGGCCUUGUACACACCGCCCGUCAAGCCAUGGAAGCUGGGGGUGCCUGAAGUUCGUGACCGCGAGGAGCGACCUAGGGCAAAACUGGUAACUGGGGCU
This 1446-nucleotide ribosomal RNA is filed under the name uncultured bacterium. RNAcentral describes it as "bacterial SSU rRNA". It matches the Rfam family "Bacterial small subunit ribosomal RNA". The record is from RNAcentral.